Molecule: ribosomal RNA, 575 nt
Filed under: Enterobacter cloacae
Lineage: Bacteria; Pseudomonadati; Pseudomonadota; Gammaproteobacteria; Enterobacterales; Enterobacteriaceae
Description: bacterial SSU rRNA
Rfam family: Bacterial small subunit ribosomal RNA
Source: RNAcentral
GCCCGCACAAGCGGUGGAGCAUGUGGUUUAAUUCGAUGCAACGCGAAGAACCUUACCUACUCUUGACAUCCAGAGAACUUUCCAGAGAUGGAUUGGUGCCUUCGGGAACUCUGAGACAGGUGCUGCAUGGCUGUCGUCAGCUCGUGUUGUGAAAUGUUGGGUUAAGUCCCGCAACGAGCGCAACCCUUAUCCUUUGUUGCCAGCGGUCNGGCCGGGAACUCAAAGGAGACUGCCAGUGAUAAACUGGAGGAAGGUGGGGAUGACGUCAAGUCAUCAUGGCCCUUACGAGUAGGGCUACACANUUGCUACAAUGGCGCAUACAAAGAGAAGCGACCUCGCGAGAGCAAGCGGACCUCAUAAAGUGCGUCGUAGUCCGGAUUGGAGUCUGCAACUCGACUCCAUGAAGUCGGAAUCGCUAGUAAUCGUAGAUCAGAAUGCUACGGUGAAUACGUUCCCGGGCCUUGUACACACCGCCCGUCACACCAUGGGAGUGGGUUGCAAAAGAAGUAGGUAGCUUAACUUAGNGGGAGGGCGCNGNCCAGGAACANANACAAGANNGGGGNGAAGGNGUAACA